UCAUAACCUUAUACUUCCCAUGCAUACCUCUAUGACAACCCGAAAUUCGGACAGCAUCAUGUCGCAUAUAAAAGGAAAUAAUCACCUGUAUAAGCUCGAGCACACAUAUAUAUGUAUAUACAAUACUUGGCCGUUGGAGCCAUCACGUCUAUUAACAAAACACCACCUUGACUGUACAUUAGGUCUACAAAGCCUCUAGACAAUACACAGAG
This 212-nucleotide long non-coding RNA is filed under the name Capsicum annuum. RNAcentral describes it as "long non-coding RNA (CANN_LNC012139)". The record is from RNAcentral. Lineage: Eukaryota; Viridiplantae; Streptophyta; Magnoliopsida; Solanales; Solanaceae.